Molecule: long non-coding RNA, 986 nt
Organism: Chinchilla lanigera (long-tailed chinchilla)
Lineage: Eukaryota; Metazoa; Chordata; Mammalia; Rodentia; Chinchillidae
Exons: 2
Source: RefSeq, a predicted model, not a curated record
ACCAGAGCCCUUCCUGGAGGCAGCUCAGAGCUCCAGCUUCCUGAGGUUUGGAGAAGGAGGGUCCAGGCUGGUGGGAGGGGCGGGUGGGGCGCCAGGGUGCUGGGGUGUGUGGCAGGGCAGCUGGCCUGGGCACAGGGAGCCUUGGCUCUUGUGCAGUCAUCCCCACGAGACAACGGUGAGACUGUGGUGGUGAUGACGAAUGGGUGCCUCCAUCAUGCAGGUGCCACCCCAGGCUUGGCCUUUGUAUGUCCCCAUGGAGGCCAGCCGGUUAUCCUGACUUUACUGAAGUCAGCAAGUGGCAGAGCUAGGAUUUGAAGCAGAACCCUGACUUGAGAACCCAUUGGGAGAUGUUUCCUCAGCUUGGUAGACAUGGGUGUCGUAGGACAGACUGGGUUCAAGUCAUGCCCCCACCAUUUCCAUACUGUGUGACUUGGGGCUCAUUGCAUCAUCUCUCUGAACCUCAGCAUUUCCAUCUGUGAAAUGAGACUCUGCUAGCACCUCUUCUGGAGUACUUGGAGAAACGCAGUGCAUCCAGUGGAGCAUGGGUCCCACACGGAGGAAACGCUCAGCAGCUGUGCAUGGUCAUGGCUGGGGUCACUGGGAUUGCUUGCAGAAGGGACAGUGGUGGACCAGUGGUGAUGCAAACACAGACCCUUGGCAGACUCUAGGGAAUUGUCCAUGUUGCUGGACUUUGCUCCAGAUGCAAGGUGCUGUGUGUAGGGCUUGCGUGGCCGCUGUGGAGCCAUCUCCCUCUGCAGGGGCCCGAGAGAGGCUGUGAGCAUCCUGAGGUCGCACAGUGCGGCCUGGCUGGUCCCAUCUUCUGGAGCUGCCAAGAGGAAGACGGCAAAAAGUUCUCACCAAUCCUGCCUUGCUGCAGAAGCAGGAGUUGCAGAGCCAGCAGACUCCCCGGAAAGACCCUGCCUGUGCCUGGGGCACAUCUCCAGAGAGGCCCAGGCCCCUGCCACAGCUCUCCGACUCGCCAUGCC